Molecule: small nucleolar RNA, 132 nt
Organism: Delphinapterus leucas (beluga whale)
Lineage: Eukaryota; Metazoa; Chordata; Mammalia; Artiodactyla; Monodontidae
Product: small nucleolar RNA SNORA42/SNORA80 family
Source: Ensembl
GCAUGGGUUUGGAUUUAUGGCAAGCCCGUUCCUCUGGGCCUCUCAUAGUGUCCCACGUCAGAGCAAACUGGCCCCGAACCAUUGCCUGGCCUCUGUCUGUAGGCCACAGGCACUGAAGUGGUUUGCACAGUG